Molecule: ribosomal RNA, 1694 nt
Filed under: Salmonella enterica subsp. enterica serovar Sandiego
Lineage: Bacteria; Pseudomonadati; Pseudomonadota; Gammaproteobacteria; Enterobacterales; Enterobacteriaceae
Description: partial 23S ribosomal RNA
Rfam family: Bacterial large subunit ribosomal RNA
Source: RNAcentral
GGUUAAGCGACUAAGCGUACACGGUGGAUGCCCUGGCAGUCAGAGGCGAUGAAGGGCGUGCUAAUCUGCGAUAAGCGCCGGUAAGGUGAUAUGAACCGUUAUAACCGGCGAUACCCGAAUGGGGAAACCCAGUGUGACUCGUCACACUAUCAUUAACUGAAUCCAUAGGUUAAUGAGGCGAACCGGGGGAACUGAAACAUCUAAGUACCCCGAGGAAAAGAAAUCAACCGAGAUUCCCCCAGUAGCGGCGAGCGAACGGGGAGGAGCCCAGAGCCUGAAUCAGCAUGUGUGUUAGUGGAAGCGUCUGGAAAGGCGCGCGAUACAGGGUGACAGCCCCGUACACAAAAGCGCAUGUGCUGUGAGCUCGAUGAGUAGGGCGGGACACGUGGUAUCCUGUCUGAAUAUGGGGGGACCAUCCUCCAAGGCUAAAUACUCCUGACUGACCGAUAGUGAACCAGUACCGUGAGGGAAAGGCGAAAAGAACCCCGGCGAGGGGAGUGAAAAAGAACCUGAAACCGUGUACGUACAAGCAGUGGGAGCACCCUUUGGGGUGUGACUGCGUACCUUUUGUAUAAUGGGUCAGCGACUUAUAUUCUGUAGCAAGGUUAACCGAAUAGGGGAGCCGGAGGGAAACCGAGUCUUAACCGGGCGUUAAGUUGCAGGGUAUAGACCCGAAACCCGGUGAUCUAGCCAUGGGCAGGUUGAAGGUUGGGUAACACUAACUGGAGGACCGAACCGACUAAUGUUGAAAAAUUAGCGGAUGACCUGUGGCUGGGGGUGAAAGGCCAAUCAAACCGGGAGAUAGCUGGUUCUCCCCGAAAGCUAUUUAGGUAGCGCCUCGUGAAUUCAUCUCCGGGGGUAGAGCACUGUUUCGGCUAGGGGGCCAUCCCGGCUUACCAACCCGAUGCAAACUGCGAAUACCGGAGAAUGUUAUCACGGGAGACACACGGCGGGUGCUAACGUCCGUCGUGAAGAGGGAAACAACCCAGACCGCCAGCUAAGGUCCCAAAGUCAUGGUUAAGUGGGAAACGAUGUGGGAAGGCCCAGACAGCCAGGAUGUUGGCUUAGAAGCAGCCAUCAUUUAAAGAAAGCGUAAUAGCUCACUGGUCGAGUCGGCCUGCGCGGAAGAUGUAACGGGGCUAAACCAUGCACCGAAGCUGCGGCAGCGACACUCAGGUGUUGUUGGGUAGGGGAGCGUUCUGUAAGCCUGUGAAGGUGGCCUGUGAGGGUUGCUGGAGGUAUCAGAAGUGCGAAUGCUGACAUAAGUAACGAUAAAGCGGGUGAAAAGCCCGCUCGCCGGAAGACCAAGGGUUCCUGUCCAACGUUAAUCGGGGCAGGGUGAGUCGACCCCUAAGGCGAGGCCGAAAGGCGUAGUCGAUGGGAAACGGGUUAAUAUUCCCGUACUUGGUGUUACUGCGAAGGGGGGACGGAGAAGGCUAUGUUGGCCGGGCGACGGUUGUCCCGGUUUAAGCGUGUAGGUGUGUGUUCCAGGUAAAUCCGGUUCACUUUAACACUGAGGCGUGAUGACGAGGCACUACGGUGCUGAAGCAACAAAUGCCCUGCUUCCAGGAAAAGCCUCUAAGCAUCAGGUAACAUCAAAUCGUACCCCAAACCGACACAGGUGGUCAGGUAGAGAAUACCAAGGCGCUUGAGAGAACUCGGGUGAAGGAACUAGGCAAAAUGGUGCCGUAACU